Non-coding RNA from Ceratotherium simum simum (southern white rhinoceros), 95 nucleotides. The record is from RefSeq and is a predicted model, not a curated record. Lineage: Eukaryota; Metazoa; Chordata; Mammalia; Perissodactyla; Rhinocerotidae.
UGCUCAGAGCCCAGGCCACAGACUCACCCCAACAUGAGAAGGAAAUCACCACAGAACCACCCUGAGGCCACAUUCCAGAUACAGAAGAGAAGGAG